Molecule: ribosomal RNA, 253 nt
Filed under: uncultured bacterium
Lineage: Bacteria
Description: partial 16S ribosomal RNA
Rfam family: Bacterial small subunit ribosomal RNA
Source: RNAcentral
GACAGAGGCCCCAAGCGUUAGGCGGAAUCACUGGGCUUAAAGCGUGUGUAGGCGGAUCGUUAAGUGUCUUGUGAAAUCCCACGGCUCACCCGUGGAACUGCUGGGCAUACUGGCGAUCUUGGGCCAACUAGGGGCAGCCGGAACAAGCGGUGGAGCGGUGAAAUGCGUAGAUAUCAGGAGGAACACCGGUGGUGUAGACGGCUCUCUGGACCGUAACUGACGCUGAGGCACGAAAGCGUGGGUAGCAAACAGG